This 208-nucleotide long non-coding RNA is filed under the name Elaeis guineensis (African oil palm). RNAcentral's name for it is "long non-coding RNA (EGUI_LNC020627)". Lineage: Eukaryota; Viridiplantae; Streptophyta; Magnoliopsida; Arecales; Arecaceae. The record is from RNAcentral.
UUCUAUAUCUUCUACUUAAUUUUUUUGCUCUCAAAGCUUAUUUUCGACCUCCUAUUUAUAAAUAAAAUUUUCAUAAUUUUUUGGUAGAAAAAGAAGUCCUAAAACCCUUAGAAAUCAUAUUAAUCUCCUUAGGAAUAUUCCUAGCCGUCGGAUGGAGCUUGAACCACCCAUAUCUGAUCAAAAAUCAUAAUUUUAAUCUUUAUCAAAG